AAGCACACUUCGGUCAUGGAUUAAGCCAUGCAAGUGUUAGUUCAGGAACUCCUAAACUGCGAAUGGCUCAUUAACACGCUUAGAAUCUACUUGAUGUCUACCCACAGGUUCCUACGGAUAGCCGGGGUAAUUCCCGGGCUAAUACGUUUUACUGCCUCGUCAUAAGUGAAUCACGACGACGACGAAGACCUCCUGGCGCAUCAAUCGAUUAAGCGACCUAUCAGCUUCUAGAUAGGGUCUUUCCCUACAUAGGCUAUCACGGGUAACGGGCGGUCACCGUCGUACUGCCGGAGAAGGCGCCUGAGAGAUAGCGACUAUAUCUACGGAUAGCAGCAGGCGCGAAACUUACCCACUCGAAACUCUCGGAGGUGGUAAUGACCAGUUUCCUCCUCGGUUCAUCCGACAGGAAUAGGACCGCAUUUUAAGGUUGCGGUGAAAUCUAGCAGAGGGCCAGUCUGGUGCCAGCAGCUGCGGUAAUUCCAGCUCUGCGAGUUUGCUCCCAUAUUGUUGCAGUUAAAACGCCCGUAGUCUGUUCUGCGAAAGCACAUGUUUCUACGUUCACUGCGAACAAAUCAGGACGCUUAGAGUAUGGUCACACGAAUAACUCAGCGCAGUAUGAACCCAUCCACGCCCUCGGGCGUCAGGUCAAUGAGAUCCAUCGGGGGUACAUCUAUUUCAUGGCGAGCGGUGGAAUGCAUAGACCCAUGAGAGAGAGCCAGAAGCGAAGGCUUUUACCUAGGGGGAUUCUGUCGAUCAAGGGCGAGAGAAGGAGUAUCCAACCGGAUUAGAGACCCGGGUAGUUCCUUCUGUAAACUAUGCCGACGGUGGCUUGUUGGUUUUUACCAGCAGGACAUUAGGAGAAAUCUAGUUCAUGGGCUCUGGGGGAACUACGACCGCAAGGCUGAAACUUGAAGGAAUUGACGGAAGGGCACACCAGGGGUGGAGCCUGUGGCUUAAUUUGAAUCAACACGGGGAAACUUACCAGGUCCAGAUGACAUAUAUGACUGACAGGCUCAAGGUCUUUCAGGAUUUUUCUUUUGGUGGUGCAUGGCCGUUGGUGGUGCGUGGGUUGACCUGUCUAGCGUUGAUUCAGCUAACGAGCGAGAUUAUUGCCGAUUACUACCUGUCGCACGAUGUGCGUUCAGGUUCUUAUCGGGACUCCCUGCGAUUAAGCAGGCGGAAGAGGGUAGCAAUAACAGGUCCGUGAUGUCCUUUAGAUGUUCUGGGCUGCACGCGUGCUACAAUGUAAGCAUCAAAGGGUUGCUCUCCCGAGAGGGAUGGCUGCUCCCAUAAUCGCUUACGUAGUUGGGCUCGAUCUUUGUAAUCAGGAUCGUGAACCAGGAAUCCCUUGUAAUUGCGUGUCAACAUCGCGCGUUGAAUACGUCCCUGCCCUUUGUACACACCGCCCGUCGCUCCUACCGAUUGGAUGACGAGGUGAAACUGCCGGACGAAAGGAAGGUAUUUAAAUCACGUUAUCUAGA
RNAcentral lists this ribosomal RNA (1481 nucleotides) under Alexandriella bishopae. RNAcentral's name for it is "SSU rRNA". It matches the Rfam family "Eukaryotic small subunit ribosomal RNA". The record is from RNAcentral. Lineage: Eukaryota; Parabasalia; Pimpavickida; Pimpavickidae.